This 425-nucleotide ribosomal RNA is filed under the name uncultured bacterium. RNAcentral's name for it is "bacterial SSU rRNA". It matches the Rfam family "Bacterial small subunit ribosomal RNA", at positions 541 to 968 of the family's 1533-position model. The record is from RNAcentral.
UUAUCCGGAUUUAUUGGGUUUAAAGGGUGCGUAGGCGGCAAGGUAAGUCAGCGGUGAAAGACCAGGGCUCAACUCUGGAAGUGCCGUUGAUACUGUCUGGCUAGAAUGAUCCCGCCGUGGGAGGAAUGAGUAGUGUAGCGGUGAAAUGCAUAGAUAUUACUCAGAACACCGAUUGCGAAGGCAUCUCACGAGGGGUUCAUUGACGCUGAGGCACGAAAGCGUGGGGAUCGAACAGGAUUAGAUACCCUGGUAGUCCACGCAGUAAACGAUGAUGGCUAACUGUCGGGCCUUCGGGUUCGGCGGCCAAGCGAAAGCGAUAAGCCAUCCACCUGGGGAGUACGACCGCAAGGUUGAAACUCAAAGGAAUUGACGGGGGCCCGCGCAAGCGGAGGAACAUGUGGUUUAAUUCGAUGAUACGCGAGGAA